Long non-coding RNA from Scomber scombrus (Atlantic mackerel), 164 nucleotides. RefSeq lists it as uncharacterized. The transcript has 3 exons. NCBI's taxonomy places the organism in Eukaryota, Metazoa, Chordata, Actinopteri, Scombriformes, Scombridae. The record is from RefSeq and is a predicted model, not a curated record.
CCUGAUCUGUCUGCAGGCAAAAAAGUGAUGAUGAUGUCUGAGUGGUUCCCCCCGGCACUCUCACCGGGCCCAUCCUGCUUUACACCUGAACUGCUACAUGAACCUGGACACAUUUCAUACAGGUUCUCGUGUCCUGGUCCAGGUUUUUUCCAGUGUAUGCUGAC